CGCGGCUAGCGGCGGCGAGUGCUGGAAGGAGACGAGCGCGCAGGCCCCGAGAGGCCAGAAAGGAAAACCAGUUGGAGUCGUUCCAACCAGGAGACCCCUUGCUUUCCUCCUCUUUUAAACUUUCUUAAGGAAAAACAACAAGGUUUCUUUGUUUGGGUCAGCCUUGGUUAUUCAGAGCCUCAGGCAUGGAGGUCUUCAAAUGUGCCUGUGUCCGAUCUGUCCCUCUCUGGAGUCUGGAUCAGCAGCUCACAAGGACAGAGACUGGCAUGGAUAUGUCGACCUACAUGACAGGUAGGUUGACAGAAACUUGAGGGAAGUACUAAGAAAUUAGGCUGGGCUUUUUAAAAGUGUGUGUGUGUGUGUGUGCACGCACACAAGUAGUUUUAGAGGCACUGAGAGCCUGUGGUGAGACACAGGUGGUAGUUUCAAUUUUAAUCAGAAGGCA
Molecule: long non-coding RNA, 445 nt
Filed under: Fukomys damarensis (Damara mole-rat)
Lineage: Eukaryota; Metazoa; Chordata; Mammalia; Rodentia; Bathyergidae
Description: lncRNA (ENSFDAG00000033500.1)
Source: RNAcentral